Molecule: transfer RNA, 71 nt
Filed under: Marmota monax (woodchuck)
Lineage: Eukaryota; Metazoa; Chordata; Mammalia; Rodentia; Sciuridae
Description: tRNA.Ala
Source: RNAcentral
GGGGUUGUGACUCAAUGGUAGAGCCCUCGCUUAGCACGUGUGAGGCACUGGGUUUGAUCCUCAGCACCACA